Molecule: ribosomal RNA, 267 nt
Filed under: uncultured bacterium
Lineage: Bacteria
Description: partial 16S ribosomal RNA
Rfam family: Bacterial small subunit ribosomal RNA
Source: RNAcentral
GCGAGUGGCGAACGGGUGAGUAACGCGUGAGGAACCUGCCUCAAAGAGGGGGACGAACAGUUGGAAACGACUGCUAAUACCGCAUAAGCCCACGGGUCGGCAUCGACCAGAGGGAAAAGGAGCAAUCCGCUUUGAGAUGGCCUCGCGUCCGAUUAGCUAGUUGGUGAGGUAAUGGCCCACCAAGCCUUCGAUGGAUAGGGGUUCUGAGAGGAAGGUCCCCCACAUUGGAACUGAGACACGGUCCAAACUCCUACGGGAGGCAGCAUG